Plodia interpunctella (Indianmeal moth) is the source of this 429-nucleotide long non-coding RNA. RefSeq lists it as uncharacterized. NCBI's taxonomy places the organism in Eukaryota, Metazoa, Arthropoda, Insecta, Lepidoptera, Pyralidae. The transcript is spliced from 2 exons. The record is from RefSeq and is a predicted model, not a curated record.
UUCUUCUUGCACACUGACUCACAACACUUAACUUCACAGUACAGACUUUAACAACACUUACUCGUUUUGGUGGUAAAAUAUUUGAAUCAUUUGUAAUCAUACUUGCCACUAUAUACUUUUAGCACUCGAAACAGUCCAUAUAUAAAAAGUGAAAUUAGAGAGCUGAACCAUUAUUUUGUCAUCGACCUUGGACUCAUAACUACGAUUACUCCAACAGUAUUUUAUGACGGAGCAUUCCCGGAAAGCUCGUCAAUUCUCGAAUAGCUGAAAUAGCUCUCAUGGAGCUGUCCCUCGGUCUGCAGCGCAGCGACUGGCACACAAUGCUAACCUGAAUAACUGUUAAUCAAACCUCAGUCUGUAUCUACUGUUACUUUAACAACGUAAUUUGUUUGAUAUUUAACAGCAAAAUAAAAUAUGGUUUAGGUGGUG